GAUGAAGAACGUAGCGAAAUGCGAUAAGUAAUGCGAAUUGCAGAAUUCAGCGAGUCAUCGAAUCUUUGAACGCAUAUUGCGCUCUUUGGUAUUCCGAAGAGCAUGCUUGUUUGAGUAUCAGUAAACACCUCAAAGCUUUUGGAUUUUUUAAUCGAAAAGCUUUGGACUUGAGCAAUCCCAACACCAAUCUUUUUGAGAUCGGUGGCGGGUUGCUUGAAAUGCAGGUGCAGCUGGACAUUCUCCUGAGCUAAAAGCAUAUUCAUUUAGUCCCGUCAAACGGAUUAUUACUUUUGCUGCAGCUAACAUAAAGGGAGUUUGACCGUAUUGGCUGACUGAUGCAGGAUUUCACAAGGGUCGGCAACGAUUCUUGUUAAACUCGAUCUCAAAUCAAGUAAGACUACCCGCUGAACUUAAGCAUAUCAAUAAGCGGAGGA
This 434-nucleotide unclassified non-coding RNA is filed under the name soil metagenome. RNAcentral describes it as "partial contains 5.8S ribosomal RNA, internal transcribed spacer 2, and large subunit ribosomal RNA". The stretch from base 1 to 120 matches the Rfam family "5.8S ribosomal RNA", at positions 35 to 154 of the family's 154-position model. The record is from RNAcentral.